This 253-nucleotide ribosomal RNA is filed under the name uncultured prokaryote. RNAcentral describes it as "partial 16S ribosomal RNA". It matches the Rfam family "Bacterial small subunit ribosomal RNA", at positions 524 to 776 of the family's 1533-position model. The record is from RNAcentral.
UACAGAGGGGGCAAGCGUUGUUCGGAAUUACUGGGCGUAAAGGGAGCGCAGGCGGAUUGGUAAGUCAGUGGUGAAAUACCCGUGCUUAACAUGGGAACUGCCAUUGAUACUAUCAGUCUUGAAUGUUGUUGAGGUUUGCGGAAUGGGUCAUGUAGCGGUGAAAUGCAUAGAUAUGACCCGGAACACCUAUUGCGAAGGCAGCAGGCUAAACAAAUAUUGACGCUGAGGCUCGAAAGCGUGGGGAUCAAACAGG